UGAGGAAUAUUGGUCAAUGGACGCAAGUCUGAACCAGCCAAGUAGCGUGCAGGAUGACGGCCCUAUGGGUUGUAAACUGCUUUUAUAUGGGGAUAAAGUGGGGAACGUGUUCCCUUUUGCAGGUACCAUAUGAAUAAGGACCGGCUAAUUCCGUGCCAGCAGCCGCGGUAAUACGGAAGGUUCGGGCGUUAUCCGGAUUUAUUGGGUUUAAAGGGAGCGUAGGCCGUUUGGUAAGCGUGUUGUGAAAUGUAGGAGCUCAACUUCUAGAUUGCAGCGCGAACUGUCAGACUUGAGUGCGCACAACGUAGGCGGAAUUCAUGGUGUAGCGGUGAAAUGCUUAGAUAUCAUGAAGAACUCCGAUUGCGAAGGCAGCUUACGGGAGCGCAACUGACGCUGAAGCUCGAAGGUGCGGGUAUCGAACAGGAUUAGAUACCCUGGUAAUCCGCACAGUAAACGAUGGAUGCCCGCUGUUAGCACCUAGUGUUAGCGGCUAAGCGAAAGCAUUAAGCAUCCCACCUGGGGAGUACGCCGGCAACGGUG
This 540-nucleotide ribosomal RNA is filed under the name uncultured bacterium. RNAcentral's name for it is "bacterial SSU rRNA". It matches the Rfam family "Bacterial small subunit ribosomal RNA", at positions 355 to 896 of the family's 1533-position model. The record is from RNAcentral.